GACGAACGCUGGCGGCGUGCCUAAUACAUGCAAGUCGAACGCACUUCUUUCACCGGAGCUUGCUCCACCGGAAGAAGUGAGUGGCGGACGGGUGAGUAACACGUGGGUAACCUGCCCAUCAGAAGGGGAUAACACUUGGAAACAGGUGCUAAUACCGUAUAACAAUAGAAACCGCCUGGUUUUUAUUUGAAAGACGCUUUCGGGUGUCGCUGAUGGAUGGACCCGCGGUGCAUUAGCUAGUUGGUGAGGUAACGGCUCACCAAGGCGAUGAUGCAUAGCCGACCUGAGAGGGUGAUCGGCCACACUGGGACUGAGACACGGCCCAGACUCCUACGGGAGGCAGCAGUAGGGAAUCUUCGGCAAUGGACGAAAGUCUGACCGAGCAACGCCGCGUGAGUGAAGAAGGUUUUCGGAUCGUAAAACUCUGUUGUUAGAGAAGAACAAGGAUGAGAGUAACUGUUCAUCCCUUGACGGUAUCUAACCAGAAAGCCACGGCUAACUACGUGCCAGCAGCCGCGGUAA
This 522-nucleotide ribosomal RNA is filed under the name uncultured bacterium. RNAcentral describes it as "bacterial SSU rRNA". It matches the Rfam family "Bacterial small subunit ribosomal RNA", at positions 28 to 523 of the family's 1533-position model. The record is from RNAcentral.